UCGAAACUAACGUGGCGUAGCCAUGGGUACAACUAGUAUCUUUAUAAAACACACACCUCUAUAUAGUACGCUGGUCCCAUAAGCCUUGGUGAUGCCAUUAGAUUCAUGGAGGCGGCCACAUGGCUGACAGUGAGAAUGAUCUGAUCAGUACGUGCAAUAGCAUAUUAGGUCUACGCAAAUAAAACAAAAAGACAGAAUUUCUCACAGUAACAUACCCACAUAUAACAACUAGGAAGUAUGAAUCCACCACAAAUCAAUAACUGAAAACAUAUCCAAAAAUGCCAACAGUUAAAGACACAUACUGUUGCCAACAGUUAAAGCCCAAGGAAUAUCGCAGAAAAAGUGAAAAAACCAAAGUACUUAAUUAAUGCAAAUUACUUAAUAAAAAGUUGGCUACCUGGAGCUCUCCAAUGUCAGGAUAUCUUCAAUCGCAACUUUCCACAAGGACCUAAUCCAAACUUCAAUCUCAGAGAUGAAUCCAUUCUCGAAGAACUCACUGAAUUUUACUUGGAAGUUUCUUAUGUUGUCAAAGUAAACCUAGAUGAAGUGUCAUAUCCAGAAACAAAUUAUUAUGUGAGAAUAAAAUGGUCCAACAAACUACAACAUAGACAAGGCCUGGAAGUUUGCUGAAGGGAAGGUCUGAAAGACUAUGGCUAUAUAUCUGUUGGGUCUCUCAGCAACGAUAGUACAUAGGGAGCAAGAGAGUUACCUGGCGCCACAAGCAGCAGCAGUCCAAAAGCUCCCAGCAGCAGUACAAGCAUUCUGCAGGUUUGGUUAGAGUGUUUCCUGGGCUUUCGGCUUUGCUUGUAUGUGUACACAUGGUAUGUAAAGGUGGGGUUGGGAAUGAGAUGAUGUAUAUAACAAGGAAAUGUCUUUUGGGGUGUAAUCUGAUGAUGCAGUCCUUGCAUUCUGAUCAGACGAUAUUGUAAGCCUGAUUUUUCUUUAGAAAUACAUAUACUACUUUUAUCAAAAAUAAAUAAAGCUUUGUAACAACAAUCCUACUAUAACUUUGACAUGUACUUUUAAGGAGUGGUGGAAUAUUAUGUUGUUUUCUUCAAACAUAAACCUAAUAACACAUCAAUUUAUUUAUUUUUUGUUAUCGUUAUCCUCUGUCUCUCAAUCCUUAGACCCAAUUUUUCUUAGAAUAUGGUAUCAAUCUUUCAAUUUUAAAUAGCAAAUCAAACAAAUAACCAUACAAAUUGUUUUAGAUUUUAGCAAAUCUCUCCGUCCUACUAACCUAAAAAAAUAUUUUGAAACUAAUUGAAUGGCUAAAACUGCGGGAGAGCGGUUUGGGAGCCGGGGGCGGUGCAGUAGCUAGACGGUAAAGUCCCACAUGAAACUGGAUUUGGGUCUACGCAUGAAACGAAGACCAUAGCUGCCGAUCAGGACCUGAUGUGUGACUGGGUCCUUGUUCUUACAGUGUAGCAUUACAUGGUUUUUUCAAUUUCAUUACGUAAAGUCAGGAUUGUGAUUAAUCUUUCACAACCUGACUCCACUAUGUAAUCUUUCCCUUCGAUAAAGUGAAAGUUAUAAAUAAGCAAACUAGUCGUAAACCAUUUUCAAUCUUGGAUUACCCAAUUUCAUUCUAAUUCCUAACACUAUGUGAUAUGAAUAACAAUAAAAAUUCUCGUUUUCUUCUUUUUUGUAAAAAUUUAGUUUUAACAGAAUCAAAUUGUAGAGAAAUCAAAGCCUUGAAUAGAUGGAAUUCAACUUAUCUAACCUUUCAACCAAGGUUGCAACCCCUAACAGCCGAGAGAAACCGAGAAAACACCCCAGCUUGUUCCAAAUAAACAGAUUCUAUUGACUAGUCAAAAUCGAAAUCCAAACUAGGGUUUAUAUAGAUAAUUGAGAGAAACAGAGACCAAGUGGCAGGAAGCAUCAAAGUAAUCGAGACAGAAGAGUAGGAAGAAGAUGAUAAAGGGUGAGAGAAAGAAUUUCAAACUCAGGGUUCAAAUCAGAUCGAGGAAGUGAGAAAGGUUGAGAUUGUGGUGAGGAGGAAGAGAGAGUCGAGGAAGUGGGUGGUUUCUCUUGUUAACGCCUUGGCUUUCCUCAUGUGAUAAGCACGUCACAAAUUUUGGUUUUUUUUUAUUAACUUCUAACAACACAAGGCCGUUAGUAUUAUUUUCUAGUAGUGUUACUAAAUAAUUCAAAAUAAUAUUAAUUUAUUACUAACAAAAAUUGGCCUUUACUAGCGGCAAAAAAAUGUUAUUACACUUCUAACAGCAAAAUGAUGUUAGAAAUCUAAA
RNAcentral lists this long non-coding RNA (2246 nucleotides) under Aquilegia coerulea. Its description in RNAcentral is "long non-coding RNA (ACOE_LNC002022)". Lineage: Eukaryota; Viridiplantae; Streptophyta; Magnoliopsida; Ranunculales; Ranunculaceae. The record is from RNAcentral.